This 497-nucleotide ribosomal RNA is filed under the name uncultured bacterium. RNAcentral's name for it is "partial 16S ribosomal RNA". It matches the Rfam family "Bacterial small subunit ribosomal RNA", at positions 28 to 507 of the family's 1533-position model. The record is from RNAcentral.
GAUGAACGCUGGCGGCGUGCCUAAUACAUGCGAGUCGAGCGAACGGACGAGAAGCUUGCUUCUCUGAUGUUAGCGGCGGACGGGUGAGUAACACGUGGAUAACCUGCCUAUAAGACUGGGAUAACUUCGGGAAACCGGAGCUAAUACCGGAUAAUAUUUUGAACCGCAUGGUUCAAAAGUGAAAGACGGUCUUGCUGUCACUUAUAGAUGGAUCUGCGCUGCAUUAGCUAGUUGGUAAGGUAACGGCUUACCAAGGCAACGAUGCAUAGCCGACCUGAGAGGGUGAUCGGCCACACUGGAACUGAGACACGGUCCAGACUCCUACGGGAGGCAGCAGUAGGGAAUCUUCCGCAAUGGGCGAAAGCCUGACGGAGCAACGCCGCGUGAGUGAUGAAGGUCUUCGGAUCGUAAAACUCUGUUAUUAGGGAAGAACAUAUGUGUAAGUAACUGUGCACAUCUUGACGGUACCUAAUCAGAAAGCCACGGCUAACUACGUG